GAAAUGAGGAUGGAAGAGUGUGCAGAGCCUGAGACACUUCAAUGCCAGGUCCAGAAGCUUGCAGUUUCUCUUCAAGGCCAUAAGGAGCCAUAGAAGGUUAUAGAGCAGGGGAGUGCAGCACCAUCAGAGCUGCAAUUGAGCUCCAGGCCUCAGGUUUAUAGCAGACAAAGGCACCCCUAAUUCAAGGGGUGAAUCAGGCAUGGUCUCUACCCUUGCAGAGAGUUUGGGGACCUGGGCCCAUGGGGGACUGGGAAGCUGCUUCCUCACCCCAGUUUCCUCAUCAGCAAAAUGGACCCAGGUAUGUGAUGUAGCAUUUCCUGACCCAAGGGACCCAACAAACAGCUGCGAUAGGAUUUUGGAGGGACCUGUACCCGCACUUCCACCUUCAAAAGUUGUGCAUUUUUUUCAUGGUUUAAUGACUUCACCUUCUUUUGGACUUUUAUAUUUGAAAAAUUUCAAACUUAUAGAAAAGUAGACAGAAUAGUAUGAAUACCCAUGUACCUAUUACCCAGAUUUAAUAAAUCUUAACAUUUUGUCAUGCUUCA
RNAcentral lists this small RNA (545 nucleotides) under Pan troglodytes (chimpanzee). Its description in RNAcentral is "sense intronic". The record is from RNAcentral. Lineage: Eukaryota; Metazoa; Chordata; Mammalia; Primates; Hominidae.